Molecule: long non-coding RNA, 1688 nt
Organism: Oryzias sinensis (Chinese medaka)
Lineage: Eukaryota; Metazoa; Chordata; Actinopteri; Beloniformes; Adrianichthyidae
Source: Ensembl
UCAGGAGCACACGAAAAAAUGCCUUUGGAAAAAAACCUUUAGCAGUGACAUAAGGCUGCAGUCGGUGGGUCACAAGGUCCCUGCUCUGCUCCAUUCAAAUGCAUAUGUUUGUAGACGGCUAGAUCCAUGUACGUCUUUUGGUUUUCCUCAUCCGACCUGGCAUCUGGCUCUAAACUGUAUGACUGGAUAACUCAAAUAUUGCUCACUAUUUAAGUUGAGGUUGUAAGGGGCUGCAAGAUAAUGGGAGACAGAGUUAACAGAUGGAUAAUGGGAAGUACGGGUGGGAUUACUCCAUGCCAACUGUCCCGCCCACAAGACAGAGGUGACUUUCUAAUGAAUUACUGCCACUCUGCAGAAACUAUGUCCUAAAAAACAACACACGUUUUUUUUUGUUUUGGCCAGAAACACCACAAUCAUAAUUAAAAACCACUGAGAACGCUUUGAAAAUAGAUCAAAUCAGAGAGGGAUCAGAGUGGGACUUUAAAGAAAAGAUUGGAAAGGUUUCUACAGAAUGUCAAAAGACUGAGAAAGACUUUGUUAACUUAUUACUGGUGAAACAUCAAGCAGCUACAAGAGGACUGGUAUAAUUGUUUCAUUAUUUUCUCUGCAUACUUUUUCUUGGACAGGGAAAGCAACUACAGCCACUCAAGAUAAAUACUACAACCAAUCCAAGGAGUGUUAACUCUAGACCUGAUAUGAGUGAGAUGGGGACGUCAAAAAAAUUAAAACCCAGUUUUAAUUGCUGUCAAAUUUGGGGAAUCAAACUAUAAUUUCUCAAAUCGUAUUGCCUGAAAUUAGAUUUAAGCUUGGAAAAACAGACAAAAAAGAAAACUGGCAAGUACUGCAAGUCUUUUAACCAUCAUGCAUGAAGAGCCUUAUCACAGGACACCAUUUUUUUGUACCAAACAGACAAUGUGGAUCGCUCACCAUCCCUGGCUCCACUUAGAAACUACUUUCACCGCCUACAGACCUCUGAUCAGCGGUACAGUGAUGGUGUUUACUCCUCCUGUCAGCUGUGAAAUGCAUCACAGCUUGUUUACUUCACCAAGACCAAGUUUUUACUUUGCAACAUCAUUCUAUCGUUUCCUUAAAGCUCCAAGAAUUAGAGUUCAUCUGCUAAGGUUGUUUGAAAGCUUUGCAUCGUUCUGUCUGCCCAAAUUUCCAGCAGAAAAUCGUCUUCAGUUCCACAUCAGAAAGAUCCCUUUAAAAGGAAUCACAAUCAAAAUGGUCUCAUUGUGUCCCUUUUUUCAUGUAUGACUGAGAGAACUGGCAAUUUACAUCUGUUCCUUUUGGUGCUCAAAGCCCAACAAGAGUUUCCUCCAGUUAAUGCUUGCUUUGGAGCACCUAGGUUUUCUGUGCUUGAAAACAGAGCCAAAGAGAUAACCUUGGGCUCAAAUAAACUAAAACAAGUAGUGUGCUACAAGUAGGUUUUUUAUUUUCUUUUUUUAUUUAUUUUAUAUUUGCACUAUAUGCCGUUUUUCCCCACUUCGCUCACACUUUCUAAUAAAGCUUAGCAUGGUUCACUUCCAAGUAAACAAAAGAUGAUCAAAUAAAGCAAGAUGUCAGGUCUCAUGUCUCCAGAUUUUAAGUGAGUUUUUACACUUGUCCAACAAAGAGAACAAUCUGAGGAAAUGAAUUGGAGCAGAUCAAAUAGCUCAGUCUAAAAGCGCUCCUGAAGUUACAAGACA